AAGAACUUUCCGUUUAACCGAAAAGACUAAAUUUGCAUUACGUUAUUUGUGGUUCGCGAGAUAUUUGACCAAGAAAAAGACACCCAGAUUGACUUUGAGUUGAUUGUUUGUUGACUAGCAGACGACGAUAACUUUUAUCGGUGUGGCGUGUGGGUACUGGCUACUGGGGCGACUGGGUAUUCAUUGGAAUUCAUCGAUCUAAUGAUUCUAAUAAGAAAAAAAAACCAUGCCUCCAGUGUCACAACUGAUUAUUCCUUUACCCAUCAAAUGCCAGAUUGGCACAUAGUUCAAAUGUGGGUGCUGAAUGAACUGGUAAACAUAAAAAAUGGAAUUGACAAUAGAUUACAUUUAUCAUCAGACAUCUCUCCCUUUCCUAUGUCUUGAAGAUGACGACAAGUUGCCAGUUGAUUUACAUGUCACCUUUACUGAUAUCCUAGCACACCAUACUUUAUUUGGCAUAAAAAAAAGGUUUCCCUUCUGGGUUUCCCUCAUUUAAAAGGCCUUGAUGAUGUAAUGGUGCUAUGCCAAAAUUUUAUCAACGUAGAGAAAUUAAAGCUGCAGCUGUGGGAAAUGGAAUUGACAAUUACAUUCAUCACAGACACAUUUCAGUUUCAGAAAGUGGAGUUUUGUCUUGAAGAUGACAAAAGUUGCCCUUUGAUUUACAUGUCACCUUAAGUGAUGUCAUAGCAGCUACUUGUCAUUUAAAUAGUUUGUUACCAUACUUUAUUUGACAUGAUUGUUUUAUAGAGUUAUUUCAUUUUGGUUUUUUUUUCA
RNAcentral lists this long non-coding RNA (774 nucleotides) under Daphnia pulicaria. RNAcentral describes it as "uncharacterized LOC124315693, transcript variant X1". Lineage: Eukaryota; Metazoa; Arthropoda; Branchiopoda; Diplostraca; Daphniidae. The record is from RNAcentral.